RNAcentral lists this ribosomal RNA (499 nucleotides) under uncultured Massilia sp. RNAcentral describes it as "partial 16S ribosomal RNA". The record is from RNAcentral. Lineage: Bacteria; Pseudomonadati; Pseudomonadota; Betaproteobacteria; Burkholderiales; Oxalobacteraceae.
CACGUAGUUAGCCGGUGCUUAUUCUUCAGGUACCGUCAUUAGCGAGGGAUAUUAGCCCUCACCGUUUCUUCCCUGACAAAAGAGCUUUACAACCCGAAGGCCUUCUUCACUCACGCGGCAUUGCUGGAUCAGGCUUUCGCCCAUUGUCCAAAAUUCCCCACUGCUGCCUCCCGUAGGAGUCUGGGCCGUGUCUCAGUUCCAGUGUGGCUGGUCGUCCUCUCAGACCAGCUACUGAUCGUAGCCUUGGUGAGCCUUUACCUCACCAACUAGCUAAUCAGAUAUCGGCCGCUCCAGGAGCACAAGGUCCGAAGAUCCCCUGCUUUCAUCCUUAGAUCGUAUGCGGUAUUAGCGUAACUUUCGCUACGUUACUCCCCCACUCUUGGGUACGUUCCGAUAUAUUACUCACCCGUUUCGCCACUCGCCGCCAGGUUCGCCCCGCGCUGCCGUUCGACUUGCAUGUAGUAAAGCAUCGCCGCAGCGUUACAAUCUGACGCCAGGA